GUGUCAGCAGCCGCGGUAAUACAGAGGGUGCAAGCGUUGUUCGGAAUUAUUGGGCGUAAAGCGCGUGUAGGCGGCUUUGCAAGUCGGGUGUGAAAGCCCUCAGCUCAACUGAGGAAGUGCGCCCGAAACUGCAGAGCUUGAAUACCAGAGAGGAUAGCGGAAUUCCCCAAGUAGAGGUGAAAUUCGUAGAUAUGGGGAGGAACACCAGUGGCGAAGGCGGCUAUCUGGAUGGCUAUUGACGCUGAGACGCGAAAGCGUGGGUAGCAAACAGGAUUAGAUACCCUGGUAGUCCACGCUGUAAACGAUGAGAACUAGGUAUCGUGGGUGUUGACCCCUGCGGUGCCGUCGCUAACGCAUUAAGUUCUCCGCCUGGGAAGUACGGCCGCAAGGCUAAA
This 395-nucleotide ribosomal RNA is filed under the name uncultured bacterium. RNAcentral's name for it is "bacterial SSU rRNA". It matches the Rfam family "Bacterial small subunit ribosomal RNA", at positions 505 to 898 of the family's 1533-position model. The record is from RNAcentral.